UCUAUGCCUUUGUUUCUCUCUAUUUCACUGAUUCUCUCUUUUCUUAAUUAAAAUUGUGUUGAAUCUGUUGUAAAAUUAAUGAUGAUAAAUUGAUCAAUUAAGAGUUGGUUUCCUCUGUAAAUUCUUUCGGAUUACAUUUUUCUGCUUGAUCACGUGUGACCGUGUGAUACUUUUUCCUGGAACUUUCUUAUCAGGACCCUGUUGGUAGGUGAUUGUAGAUUCCUACACGAGUCAUGGACAAUGGGAGAGAGAACUUUAACAGAAGAAGUAUCUGCACUUCUACCAUUAUUUUGUGUUGGAUUCAGUGCUGCUGAUGGUGUGCUUGAUGCUUAUUCUUUGUGUUGAUUGCUGCUGUUCUUCAUAUUCAUUAUCAAUAACACUUCAAAUCACAAUGAUCAGUUAAAGGAGCGGCAAUGUGGAUUCAGUUGCUUCAUGUGCUAUUAAAUGAAACGUUUUAAGCCUGAGAAUGGGGCUUUAUUAUCGAAGGAUGAGACUAUUUCUGUGAACUUGUGCAUGUUGCUCCUGACAGGGGAGAUCAUGUUGUACGUUUUCCUAAAAGGAGAUGGUAAACCUUAAGGUGUAAUGCAGGUUUGCAACAAUUUAAGGAUGCAAAAUGACGGGGAUUCACUGGCAGGUUUCACCGAUAAGCUGCCAAGGUGUGGAAAGACUAGUACACCUGCCAUCCUCCGCUAAAGAAGUUGUGUAUGUUUCUAAUUAUAGU
Non-coding RNA from Vigna umbellata (rice bean), 721 nucleotides. NCBI's taxonomy places the organism in Eukaryota, Viridiplantae, Streptophyta, Magnoliopsida, Fabales, Fabaceae. The record is from RefSeq and is a predicted model, not a curated record.